AGUGAACGCUGGCGGUAGGCCUAACACAUGCAAGUCGAACGGCAGCACAGUAAGAGCUUGCUCUUACGGGUGGCGAGUGGCGGACGGGUGAGGAAUACAUCGGAAUCUACUUUUUCGUGGGGGAUAACGUAGGGAAACUUACGCUAAUACCGCAUACGACCUGCGGGUGAAAGCAGGGGAUCUUCGGACCUUGCGCGAUUGAAUGAGCCGAUGUCGGAUUAGCUAGUUGGCGGGGUAAAGGCCCACCAAGGCGACGAUCCGUAGCUGGUCUGAGAGGAUGAUAAGCCACACUGGAACUGAGACACGGUCCAGACUCCUACGGGAGGCAGCAGUGGGGAAUAUUGGACAAUGGGCGCAAGCCUGAUCCAGCCAUACCGCGUGGGUGAAGAAGGCCUUCGGGUUGUAAAGCCCUUUUGUUGGGAAAGAAAAGCAGCAGGUUAAUACCCCGCUGUUCUGACGGUACCCAAAGAAUAAGCACCGGCUAACUUCGUG
This 492-nucleotide ribosomal RNA is filed under the name uncultured bacterium. RNAcentral describes it as "partial 16S ribosomal RNA". It matches the Rfam family "Bacterial small subunit ribosomal RNA", at positions 29 to 507 of the family's 1533-position model. The record is from RNAcentral.